RNAcentral lists this ribosomal RNA (465 nucleotides) under uncultured bacterium. Its description in RNAcentral is "bacterial SSU rRNA". It matches the Rfam family "Bacterial small subunit ribosomal RNA", at positions 329 to 793 of the family's 1533-position model. The record is from RNAcentral.
GUCCAGACUCCUACGGGAGGCAGCAGUGGGGAAUAUUGCACAAUGGGGGAAACCCUGAUGCAGCGACGCCGCGUGAGUGAAGAAGUAUUUCGGUAUGUAAAGCUCUAUCAGCAGGGAAGAAAUAGCGACCUUUGGGUCGCCAGACGGUACCUGAUUAAGAAGCCCCGGCUAACUACGUGCCAGCAGCCGCGGUAAUACGUAGGGGGCAAGCGUUAUCCGGAUUUACUGGGUGUAAAGGGAGCGUAGACGGCAGCGCAAGUCUGAAGUGAAAUGCCGGGGCUUAACCCCGGAACUGCUUUGGAAACUGUGCAGCUAGAGUGCAGGAGAGGUAAGUGGAAUUCCUAGUGUAGCGGUGAAAUGCGUAGAUAUCAGGAGGAACAUCGGUGGCGUAAGCGCUUUACUGGGCCGUAAUUGACACUGAGGGACGAAAGCCAGGGUAGCAAAUGGGAUUAGAUACCCGCGUAC